GCAGUCGCAAGCAGGGCUGUCUGUCAUCCCGCACUUAUGCAGGUGAUCGGCUGGCUGUUCUUGGAUGGAG
Amblyraja radiata (thorny skate) is the source of this 70-nucleotide long non-coding RNA. RefSeq lists it as uncharacterized. The record is from RefSeq and is a predicted model, not a curated record. NCBI's taxonomy places the organism in Eukaryota, Metazoa, Chordata, Chondrichthyes, Rajiformes, Rajidae. The transcript is spliced from 3 exons.